Molecule: ribosomal RNA, 373 nt
Filed under: uncultured eukaryote
Lineage: Eukaryota
Description: partial 18S ribosomal RNA
Rfam family: Eukaryotic small subunit ribosomal RNA
Source: RNAcentral
CAAUAGCGUAUAUUAAAGUUGUUGCAGUUAAAAAGCUCGUAGUUGAAUUUUUGCUUGCCGCCGAUGUCGGAACUUCCGUACGUUCGGCGGCGUGCAUCCUUGGGUGGAACCUGUGUGGCAUUAGGUUGUCGUGCAGGGGAUGCUCAUCGUUUACUGUGAAAAAAUUAGAGUGUUCAAAGCAGGCUUAUGCCGUUGAAUAUAUUAGCAUGGAAUAAUAAGAUAGGACCUUGGUACUAUUUUGUUGGUUUGCGCACCGAGGUAAUGAUUAACAGGGACAGUUGGGGGUAUUCGUAUUCCAUUGUCAGAGGUGAAAUUCUUGGAUUUCUGGAAGACGAACUACUGCGAAANGANNNACCAAGGAUGUUUUCAUNAA